GGGCCCGCACAAGCGGUGGAGCAUGUGGUUUAAUUCGAUGAUACGCGAGGAACCUUACCAGGGCUUAAAUGUAGUGGGACAGGUCUAGAGAUAGACCCUUCUUCGGACUCAUUACAAGGUGCUGCAUGGUUGUCGUCAGCUCGUGCCGUGAGGUGUCAGGUUAAGUCCUAUAACGAGCGCAACCCCUAUCGUUAGUUGCCAGCACAUAAUGGUGGGAACUCUAAGGAGACUGCCGGUGACAAACCGGAGGAAGGUGGGGAUGACGUCAAAUCAUCACGGCCCUUACGUCCUGGCCACACACGUGCUACAAUGGCCGGUACAGAGAGCAGCCACUACGCGAGUAGGAGCGAAUCUUCAAAACCGGUCUCAGUUCGGAUCGCAGUCUGCAACUCGACUGCGUGAAGCUGGAAUCGCUAGUAAUCG
This 423-nucleotide ribosomal RNA is filed under the name uncultured bacterium. RNAcentral describes it as "bacterial SSU rRNA". It matches the Rfam family "Bacterial small subunit ribosomal RNA", at positions 917 to 1344 of the family's 1533-position model. The record is from RNAcentral.